CGGAGUGUAGCGCAGCCUGGUAGCGCACCUGCUUCGGGAGCAGGGGGUCGUGAGUUCGAAUCUCGCCACUCCGACCA
Molecule: transfer RNA, 77 nt
Filed under: Anderseniella sp.
Lineage: Bacteria; Pseudomonadati; Pseudomonadota; Alphaproteobacteria; Hyphomicrobiales; Parvibaculaceae
Also listed under: 2 other names
Description: tRNA-Pro
Rfam family: tRNA
About the family: Transfer RNA (tRNA) molecules are approximately 80 nucleotides in length. Their secondary structure includes four short double-helical elements and three loops (D, anti-codon, and T loops). Further hydrogen bonds mediate the characteristic L-shaped molecular structure. tRNAs have two regions of fundamental functional importance: the anti-codon, which is responsible for specific mRNA codon recognition, and the 3' end, to which the tRNAs corresponding amino acid is attached (by aminoacyl-tRNA synthetases). tRNAs cope with the degeneracy of the genetic code in two manners: having more than one tRNA (with a specific anti-codon) for a particular amino acid; and 'wobble' base-pairing, i.e. permitting non-standard base-pairing at the 3rd anti-codon position.
Source: RNAcentral